Molecule: non-coding RNA, 207 nt
Organism: Rhodospirillum rubrum ATCC 11170
Lineage: Bacteria; Pseudomonadati; Pseudomonadota; Alphaproteobacteria; Rhodospirillales; Rhodospirillaceae
Source: Rfam
UUUUUCUUGCCGGCGCCAGGACGCGCCGGGAGGGAUAUGGGAACGGGGAAGGGCGUUUUUCGCCCGAAGCCCCGACCGCCCCCGCGACUGUGAGCGGCGAGUGACCUCUCCCAUGCCACUGGAUCACGCCGGAAAGGCACGAUCUGGGAAGGCGGAGGAUCGCGACGACCCGCGAGUCAGGAGACCGGCCCUGCGCAUCGGUGUUCA